Molecule: ribosomal RNA, 467 nt
Filed under: uncultured bacterium
Lineage: Bacteria
Description: bacterial SSU rRNA
Rfam family: Bacterial small subunit ribosomal RNA
Source: RNAcentral
AUUGAACGCUGGCGGCAUGCCUUACACAUGCAAGUCGAACGGCAGCGGACCUUCGGGUGCCGGCGAGUGGCGAACGGGUGAGUAAUGCAUCAGAACGUGCCAUUGAGUGGGGGAUAACGUAGCGAAAGUUACGCUAAUACCGCAUAUUCUGUGAGCAGGAAAGCAGGGGGACCGCAAGGCCUUGCGCUCUUUGAGCGGCCGAUGUCAGAUUAGCUAGUUGGUGAGGUAAAGGCUUACCAAGGCGACGAUCUGUAGCGGGUCUGAGAGGAUGAUCUGCCACACUGGAACUGAGACACGGUCCAGACUCCUACGGGAGGCAGCAGUGGGGAAUUUUGGACAAUGGGCGCAAGCCUGAUCCAGCCAUGCCGCGUGAGUGAAGAAGGCCUCGGUUGUAAGACUCUUUCGGUCCGGGAAGAAAUCGCAUGGGUUAAUACCCUGUGUGGAUGACGGUACCGGAAGUAAGAAGC